UCGGGAAUUUUGGGCAAUGGGCGAAAGCCUGACCCAGCAACGCCGCGUGAAGGAUGAAGUAUUUCGGUAUGUAAACUUCGAAAGAAUAGGAAGAAUAAAUGACGGUACUAUUUAUAAGGUCCGGCUAACUACGUGCCAGCAGCCGCGGUAAUACGUAGGGACCAAGCGUUGUUCGGAUUUACUGGGCGUAAAGCGCGUGUAGGCGGGUCGUUAAGUUGGGGGUGAAAUCCCGAGGCUCAACCUCGGAACUGCCUUCAAAACUGGCGACCUGGACUCAAGCAGAGGCAAGUGGAAUUGCGAGUGUAGAGGUGAAAUUCGUAGAUAUUCGCAGGAACACCAGUGGCGAAGGCGACUUGCUGGGCUUGUAGUGACGCUGAGACGCGAAAGCGUGGGGAGCAAACAGGAUUAGAUACCCCAGUAGUCCCUGAGCGGGCUGGCAAGGCGCAU
This 447-nucleotide ribosomal RNA is filed under the name uncultured bacterium. RNAcentral describes it as "bacterial SSU rRNA". It matches the Rfam family "Bacterial small subunit ribosomal RNA", at positions 355 to 825 of the family's 1533-position model. The record is from RNAcentral.